RNAcentral lists this ribosomal RNA (890 nucleotides) under Escherichia coli. RNAcentral's name for it is "partial 23S ribosomal RNA". It matches the Rfam family "Bacterial large subunit ribosomal RNA", at positions 343 to 1238 of the family's 2925-position model. The record is from RNAcentral. Lineage: Bacteria; Pseudomonadati; Pseudomonadota; Gammaproteobacteria; Enterobacterales; Enterobacteriaceae.
UGGAAAGGCGCGCGAUACAGGGUGACAGCCCCGUACACAAAAAUGCACAUAUUGUGAGCUCGAUGAGUAGGGCGGGACACGUGGUAUCCUGUCUGAAUAUGGGGGGACCAUCCUCCAAGGCUAAAUACUCCUGACUGACCGAUAGUGAACCAGUACCGUGAGGGAAAGGCGAAAAGAACCCCGGCGAGGGGAGUGAAAAAGAACCUGAAACCGUGUACGUACAAGCAGUGGGAGCCUCUUAAUGGGGUGACUGCGUACCUUUUGUAUAAUGGGUCAGCGACUUAUAUUCUGUAGCAAGGUUAACCGAAUAGGGGAGCCGAAGGGAAACCGAGUCUUAACUGGGCGUUAAGUUGCAGGGUAUAGACCCGAAACCCGGUGAUCUAGCCAUGGGCAGGUUGAAGGUUGGGUAACACUAACUGGAGGACCGAACCGACUAAUGUUGAAAAAUUAGCGGAUGACUUGUGGCUGGGGGUGAAAGGCCAAUCAAACCGGGAGAUAGCUGGUUCUCCCCGAAAGCUAUUUAGGUAGCGCCUCGUGAAUUCAUCUCCGGGGGUAGAGCACUGUUUCGGCAAGGGGGUCAUCCCGACUUACCAACCCGAUGCAAACUGCGAAUACCGGAGAAUGUUAUCACGGGAGACACACGGCGGGUGCUAACGUCCGUCGUGAAGAGGGAAACAACCCAGACCGCCAGCUAAGGUCCCAAAGUCAUGGUUAAGUGGGAAACGAUGUGGGAAGGCCCAGACAGCCAGGAUGUUGGCUUAGAAGCAGCCAUCAUUUAAAGAAAGCGUAAUAGCUCACUGGUCGAGUCGGCCUGCGCGGAAGAUGUAACGGGGCUAAACCAUGCACCGAAGCUGCGGCAGCGACACUAUGUGUUGUUGGGUAGGGGAGCG